GACGAACGCUGGCGGCGUGCCUAAUACAUGCAAGUUGAGCGCUGAAGGUUGGUACUUGUACCAACUGGAUGAGCAGCGAACGGGUGAGUAACGCGUGGGGAAUCUGCCUUUGAGCGGGGGACAACAUUUGGAAACGAAUGCUAAUACCGCAUAAAAACUUUAAACACAAGUUUUAAGUUUGAAAGAUGCAAUUGCAUCACUCAAAGAUGAUCCCGCGUUGUAUUAGCUAGUUGGUGAGGUAAAGGCUCACCAAGGCGAUGAUACAUAGCCGACCUGAGAGGGUGAUCGGCCACAAUGGGACUGAGACACGGCCCAAACUCCUACGGGAGGCAGCAGUAGGGAAUCUUCGGCAAUGGACGAAAGUCUGAACGAGCAACGCCGCGUGAGUGAAGAAGGUUUUCGGAUCGGAAAACUCUGUUGGUAGAGAAGAACGUUGGUGAGAGUGGAAAGCUCAUCAAGUGACGGUAACUACCCAGAAAGGGACGGCUAACUACGUG
Molecule: ribosomal RNA, 497 nt
Filed under: uncultured bacterium
Lineage: Bacteria
Description: partial 16S ribosomal RNA
Rfam family: Bacterial small subunit ribosomal RNA
Source: RNAcentral